Molecule: long non-coding RNA, 143 nt
Organism: Alosa sapidissima (American shad)
Lineage: Eukaryota; Metazoa; Chordata; Actinopteri; Clupeiformes; Clupeidae
Exons: 2
Source: RefSeq, a predicted model, not a curated record
AGGCUUGUAAAAUUUCCAAGGCCAUUUUCUUCCAAGGAUUGAAGAGACUGCUCCAAAGCUUCAAUCCAGCUGGCCUCCAUUACUGGAAAAAAAGUAUAGACCUACAGUUUGUCAAUGAAAGAAAUAAACAGCGGUGAAAAUAA